UACGUAGGGUGCAAGCGUUGUCCGGAAUCAUUGGGCGUAAAGAGCGUGUAGGCGGCUCGAUAAGUCCGCUGUAAAAGUCCAGGGCUCAACCCUGGGAUGCCGGUGGAAACUGUCGGGCUAGAGUCCGGGAGAGGCGAGUGGAAUUCCUGGUGUAGCGGUGAAAUGCGCAGAUAUCAGGAGGAACACCAAUGGCGAAGGCAGCUCGCUGGAACGGUACUGACGCUGAGACGCGAAAGCGUGGGGAGCAAACAGG
Molecule: ribosomal RNA, 253 nt
Filed under: uncultured bacterium
Lineage: Bacteria
Description: partial 16S ribosomal RNA
Rfam family: Bacterial small subunit ribosomal RNA
Source: RNAcentral